This 382-nucleotide long non-coding RNA is filed under the name Chrysemys picta bellii (western painted turtle). RNAcentral describes it as "lncRNA (ENSCPBG00000018667.1)". The record is from RNAcentral. Lineage: Eukaryota; Metazoa; Chordata; Testudines; Emydidae.
UCUGUCCCUUCCUCAGCCCCGCUUUCUGAUACAACUGGAUGCAUUGCCACAAUGUACUGCAGAUGUGCCUUUUGACAUCAGAGGACGCAUGUCCCCAGGGGGGCUUUGGCACAAACCUGUCAUGUUUGCACCGAGCGGAGACGGCACUGACAAGGCAUUUACAGCUGAAAGUAAGAAUAUUUUUUCCUGCAGAGCAGUUUAAAAGGCAAAAUAAAAUUGUGCAGUUUUCAAAACAAAGCACGUUAUGUUGACCGGUGCCAAAGAAUUCAGAAGGCUUAUAUGAAAAGGGAAGGGAAAUCCAUAUUUUUCUUUCUGAGGCAAAGCAUGUUUUUUAUUUCCGGUUCUAUUCUACAAUAACUGCAAAGACUUUGAAAGUCUUCUG